Molecule: unclassified non-coding RNA, 219 nt
Filed under: Hevea brasiliensis (rubber tree)
Lineage: Eukaryota; Viridiplantae; Streptophyta; Magnoliopsida; Malpighiales; Euphorbiaceae
Source: RNAcentral
UUAUAGUAAUGAUAAUUCUAUUAGUCGAAUUUCGUUAUAUUUAGGUCUCCUUGGCUUAACAAGUGAGCUCAACAAGUCCAUCUUUUGGGGGAGAUUUGACUAUCUAAAAGAACUUUGAGCUCGCUGUUUUUAUUUUUUUUUUAGCUGGGGAAUUGGAGAUCUCGGACUCAAACUUGUCUCUACUUAAUGAAUAAGUGUCUAUUUAAUAUUGAAUUUGGG